RNAcentral lists this ribosomal RNA (228 nucleotides) under Paenibacillus sp. VCA1. RNAcentral's name for it is "partial 23S ribosomal RNA". It matches the Rfam family "Bacterial large subunit ribosomal RNA", at positions 2690 to 2925 of the family's 2925-position model. The record is from RNAcentral. Lineage: Bacteria; Bacillati; Bacillota; Bacilli; Caryophanales; Paenibacillaceae.
GACCGGGAUGGACGUACCGCUGGUGCACCAGUUGUUCCGCCAGGAGCAUGGCUGGGUAGCUACGUACGGACGGGAUAAGCGCUGAAAGCAUCUAAGCGUGAAGCCCCCCUCAAGAUGAGAUUUCCCAGUAUGUAAGACCCCUUGAAGACGACGAGGUAGAUAGGUUGGAGGUGGAAGUGCAGCAAUGCAUGGAGCUGACCAAUACUAAUCGGUCGAGGGCUUAUCCUA